Molecule: long non-coding RNA, 451 nt
Filed under: Pan troglodytes (chimpanzee)
Lineage: Eukaryota; Metazoa; Chordata; Mammalia; Primates; Hominidae
Description: long non-coding RNA NONPTRT010438
Source: RNAcentral
UUUUCUUUACUAGCGAGUUCAGAACAUAAGCUCCUCUUCAAAGUAAACACAGGCCCAUGAAAACUUGACAGAAAAGGAGUGGAGGAUGUGAACUGGAUAGAUAUGGGAUAAAGUAAUAAAAGUGAGAGGGAAGGAAGUUGAGUUACAGAUGGUUAACUCCCACUUGUAUGUCCCGUGCUGGUGAAGUAAUACCAGGUGUACAUCAACUGUUAUGGGAAUGAGGUGGAAACAAGGGUCUUUGAAUAGAGGUGGGGGGAGCAAACCUCUGCUAAAGUAGACACAGAGAUCAGAAGCAACGAAGUCAAAGCUGCUUCCCACCAAGCUGUGUGGUCCCAGAUCAAUAAAUGUCCACAGGACAAAAGCAGUGCCAACUGUGGGGCUCACCUUCCUGGAUUCCUGUCUUCUUCCUAGAUCUUGGUCCGGUCAUUCUUCCUGCUUUGAUCAAGCAAUC